Molecule: RNA transcript, 3559 nt
Organism: Xiphophorus hellerii (green swordtail)
Lineage: Eukaryota; Metazoa; Chordata; Actinopteri; Cyprinodontiformes; Poeciliidae
Gene: tspan11
Gene name: tetraspanin 11
Exons: 9
Source: RefSeq, a predicted model, not a curated record
CACCACUACAGCAAACAUUGGAUUACCGUGAAAGCAACAAACUUGACCGGACAAAACGCCCACCGCUGCAGCGGUGUCCUCUAAGCUCCGGAGGGAACAGCAGGAACCCGAAGCCCUUCUUCCAGCGCUAAAACUGAAAUAAUAAAGUCUGUGUUCUCUGGAGCGACCUACAGCUAAGAAGAUGUCAAUGGCUUAUAAAGAUGAUGAGGAAGACUGGUUGACAGUUUGCCUCAAGUACCUGCUCUUUCUGUUUAACUUUCUUUUUUGGGUGGGUGGAGCCGCAGUCUUGGCUGUAGGAGUGUGGACCCUGGUGGAGAAGAGUGACUACCUUAGUCUAUUGGCCUCCAGCACUUUUGCUGUUUCAGCGUAUAUCUUGAUCCUGGCUGGCAGCCUAGUGGUUGUUACUGGCUUCUUGGGCUGCUGUGCUGUUAUCCGGGAACAGAGAAGCUGCCUUUCCACGUAUUUCUUCUUCCUGCUGUUAAUAUUCUUGAUUGAGUUGGUGGCUGGCGUGCUGGCUUACGUUUACUACCAGAGGCUGAGUGAUGAACUGAAGGAGCACCUCAACCAGACAAUGACUGAGAAUUAUGCUCAGCAAGGGAAGGAGACAAUCACAUCAGCAGUGGACAGACUGCAACAAGAUUUCAAGUGCUGUGGCAGCAACAACUCUCAGGAUUGGAUGCUGAGUGUGUACAUUAGGUCAGAGCAGUCGGGGAACAGGGUGGUGCCUGACAGCUGCUGUAAAACCAUUACGCCUGACUGUGGCAGGAGGGACCAUCCCUCCAACAUCUAUAAAGUGGAGGGUGGUUGCAUCACUAAGCUGGAGCAGUUCCUUGCAGAUCAUCUAUUGGUUAUUGGUGCGGUGGGAAUUGGUGUGGCCUGUCUUCAGCUGGCCGGGGCACUCUUGACAGCCUGCUUUAUCUAUCUGCUCUAUAAGGAAGAGGAAGAGGACUUUGGUGCAUUGUAAUUUGGCUCUAGAGCUCCUUGGUGCUUUUAAUCAAAUGGAUAGACAAGGUUGGAAGAUCUGUGGGAUGGUGUUCACCUGCUGCUUGCACAGAAGGAUUAAGAUGGAUCCUUACUAGGCGUACAAGACCCAACAAACCACCGGUAACAUGCAAAUGUGGCAAAGCCUGCCGACACCUGAUUUCCACAUCUGGAUCUGGGAUUACAAUCAGACAAUAGUGAGUGAAGUGAAGUUUACAUGCAGCACUGUCAGAAACUAAUUAAGCCGUUGAGUCUUAUUUCCACAAGAAGAAGAUAUAUUUAUUUGGCUUACAUGCAUGAUUUAAAUGGAGAUGAACGAUUACCUUCUGUAACUAAUGCAAAAAUAAAGAUUUGUCUUUUUUCCCCCCUUACUUAAUACAGUAUCAUCAGUUUUUGAGAGCAAACAAGCAUUUAUAAAAGACACUGGCUACACUUGUCAUUGUUUAUGAAGAGAUGGAACAUAAUGUGCCUUUUUUCAAGAUUGUGUUUAUUAUGUGCCGAGUGCCUUGAAGCUUUAAAGGAAAUAUGACAACACAACAUAGUAAAGUGUAUAUUUAUUGGUGGUUAGUUUAAAUGUUUCUAUCAAAACUAUAAUGCUGAAUUUUACAUGAUUAAUCAAAGUUAACUCGUCAAAGUUGCAACACUACCAAAGUUUUUCCCACAGGUUAUUUCUUACAAAAUGCUAACACAUUUUUGAAUUUAGAACUCCACCUAGUGGACGCAGCUCUCAAUUAAAAACAAGCCACAGUUUUGUAAAAGACAUGGAUGGUAAUCUAGUUUCGUUUUCUAUAAAAUGUUAAUUUUGAAAUUAUUCCGAUAUCAAUGUUUUCACAUUAAAGCAAAAAAUUUAUUUAAUCUCUUUUUGUCGUCGUUAAACUUUCUGCUGAAGAUAUGAAUAUUUUAAAUUAGAAAUGUGUUCUUCAUUGUUACUGUUUCUAGUAGUAAUCAUUGUAUCAUUUAAUCUGAUUAAAAGAAUUUAUCAUUGCCAAUGUUGUAUUUUAUUUAAGGGUACUAACUUAUGAGUAUUGUUGCUAAUGAACUAGUAACUCUGGCAUGUGGUUGCUAUUGAUUGGUUGACCAAUAUAAUUGUUCUGAAGCUUAUAAGUAAAGGUAAUAAAGAUUUUAUUGCAUUAACUCUUUAAAGAAGUUAACACCACUGCUGGUUGACAGAUGAUUGCAUAUUUUCAAAUAUCUGUUUGGUAGUUAAUAGAAUAAUUGGCACAAUAAUAUAAUUGGUUUAUUUAUCAGGGUUAAUUUAGAAGGUUACCAAAGUCCUGUUUCCUGUUGCCUGAGUAGUUUAUCUUCAUUGUAACCACUAGAGGGCGACAAAGACUUUUUGUUUGAAAUUAUUACACCUUUUCAUCUAAUCUGUCGCCUUGCAUGGAUUGAUCUCAUUUUAAAAACACUUCUCAAAAGUGCUAUAAGUCCUUAACGCUUCUUUUUUUGUUAAAACUCUUCUCUGCUCUCUCCAUCCUGUAUUCACUGGUUUUGUUUUAUUUUUUAAAAUAUGCUUACUAGUUUCUAGUUGGUGCAUUACAGCAAAACAAACAUCCAGUUGUUGCAUGCACCAAGGCGAACUUUUUUUCCCCUCUCCCACCUCCUGUUUCCCUCAUCAAAGAAGCUUAAGAAAAGACAUGUUAAAGCUAUACAAAUAAGAUGGAAGUACACUUCCAAAAAUAAAAAGAAUAAACCAGCAUGUGGGGGAAAGAAGGUAUCAGUGGCGAUACGAUUCUUAAUGUGAUUUACAGCCUGGACAUACAUACCUAUAUAUUUGUGUACAUGCAUUUAAAUGAUAUAAUCAAAUACUGAAAACAAUUAUAUAAUGGUCUUUGAUGACAUAUCACACCAUAUCUACAUUCUAUUUCUAUAGAACCCCCACCUAUGAAGCGAGUUUGCAACAUUAGUGUUAUGUCUUCAAUCCCUGACUGCGUUACAAGCUUUUAUACCCACCUAUCAUGUCAGGACAGUUUUUUCUUUCAUUCAUUUAUUUAUUUUUUGUUCAUUUAGUAUGGAUCAUUAUGCCUUUUUUGAAACCAUAGUAAUUGUUGAAAAAGUGAUUGUUGAUUCUGUAAAUCUUGAGAUUUCUGUUUGUGUGUCUUGAAAUGAGUCUCAGAUUAUCUUGUGAACACAGUAUUAUACUACAAAUGUUAUAGUAAUCUUACUUUCCUUUGGGGUUUUUAUUGUGAAAGUAAAUCUUCCUUUUUUUCUGUGCUAAAAGGAAUAUCUUUAUGCUCUGCAGCUAAUUUAGUUUGCUGCAAUUUGCUUUUGAUGUAUUCUAAUAAUUUUUUUAUGUUCUCAAACCUGCCUAACACUUAAUGCUGUAAACAUUUCGCAAGUCCCUCUCCAAAUAACGCACCCUUUCAACUUUUUUCACAUUUUGACCUGUUACAACCACAUACCUGAAUGUUUUUUUACUGGGAUUUUAUGAGGUGGAACAUGCAUGCCACUCAUGAAUAGAAAGUCGUUAAACGUUCCUGUUUGCAGCUGUGGCAGAGAUGUAGCAAACAUGUGGAAGAUGGUUCCACAUGUUUCAAUUUUGUUUUUUUAAGAUAAAGAAUAAAAUUUAAUUUCUGACCAA